This 58-nucleotide transfer RNA is filed under the name Eurrhacini sp. UPOL A00649. Its description in RNAcentral is "tRNA-Leu". The record is from RNAcentral. Lineage: Eukaryota; Metazoa; Arthropoda; Insecta; Coleoptera; Lycidae.
UGUGGCAGAAUAGUGCAAUAAAUUUAAGAAUUAUUUAUAAAGUUUUCUUUCUUUAGAA